Molecule: long non-coding RNA, 235 nt
Filed under: Elaeis guineensis (African oil palm)
Lineage: Eukaryota; Viridiplantae; Streptophyta; Magnoliopsida; Arecales; Arecaceae
Description: long non-coding RNA (EGUI_LNC076644)
Source: RNAcentral
GUCGAUCAGAGUAGGCUAUGGAGUCUCUCUACAUCUCGAGUAAGAUCAGCUAACUGAGGUGAAGUACUGCUCGAUGUGUUCACUCCUGUCGAUAGAGAAUCCAAUAUCAGUCUGAUCUUCCUCUCAAUAUCAAAGAUCCUGUCACUAAACCUGAGCAUGGAGCUCUCUACACUUUCCAGUUUGGAGCUCAGGUUAGAUAAAAACUGUACCAAUGAGGGAAUGUGUGGCACUACUG